CUUACUAGAAUUGCAGCGUGUGACACCCUUACCGUAACAUAUAAAGUGCAUAUAACUGGAAAACCCUGUAGGGCUAAGAUCAGGGGUGUAGGUAAGAGCUAGGAAAGGUAUAUAUAAAAUACCCACAUGAAUGAGUCAGAAAAACCUCCUGUAGGAACCUACCAAAUGUAAGAGGGGGAAACAACCCAUAAACCACUGUUCUAAAAAUACUGAAACUCCGGUUAUAUGCACUUUAUAUGUUACAGUAAGGGUGUCACACGCCACAAUUCUAGUAAGUUUACCAA
Molecule: non-coding RNA, 284 nt
Organism: Pelobates cultripes (western spadefoot toad)
Lineage: Eukaryota; Metazoa; Chordata; Amphibia; Anura; Pelobatidae
Source: the annotation of a GenBank genome assembly